RNAcentral lists this long non-coding RNA (338 nucleotides) under Fukomys damarensis (Damara mole-rat). RNAcentral's name for it is "lncRNA (ENSFDAG00000027432.1)". Lineage: Eukaryota; Metazoa; Chordata; Mammalia; Rodentia; Bathyergidae. The record is from RNAcentral.
UUUAGCCACACGUAUUCUCUACACUGUGAAGACACUCUACAGAAGAGAGUAUGAGUUGAUUCCUUGCAAAAGAGAAUUUAUGAUGGUUUGGCAGUAGAAGGAAAAGAAACAGAUGGUUGUCUUCAUCAGUACCACACGGUCCCUGGGAAAUUCCAGUUGCAUCUCUAUAAUUUCAGCUACCAGAUACUGAUGACUCCUAAAGCCUACCCACAUUUACCAACUGAGAUCCGGUUGUUUUCCUGAGGUCUUCACCCUGUUACUGCUGAUUCACCAUGUCCAAAACAAGCCUUCUCACCAUGGGUUCCAUGCCCCGUUGACACAAGUCCCUAACCUUCCCC